Molecule: RNA transcript, 2522 nt
Organism: Pogoniulus pusillus (Red-fronted tinkerbird)
Lineage: Eukaryota; Metazoa; Chordata; Aves; Piciformes; Lybiidae
Gene: RAB3C
Gene name: RAB3C, member RAS oncogene family
Exons: 6
Source: RefSeq, a predicted model, not a curated record
CAGCUCCGGUGCUGAUCCCGACACGGGUUUGUCGGCAGAGCCCGGGGCAGGCGACGGCGACUAGUGGCGUGCGCGAACGAGCGGCAGAGAAGAGACCAGCGGGCCGCGCCCGCAAUGAGACACGAAGCCCCCAUGCAGAUGGCAUCUACUCAAGAUUCCAAAUAUGGACAGAAAGAUACAUCUGAUCAGAACUUUGAUUACAUGUUCAAACUGCUCAUUAUCGGCAACAGCAGCGUUGGGAAAACCUCAUUUUUGUUCCGUUAUGCUGAUGAUUCCUUUACAUCUGCAUUCGUAAGCACAGUUGGGAUUGAUUUCAAAGUAAAAACAGUUUUCAAAAAUGAAAAAAGAAUUAAGCUACAGAUUUGGGACACAGCAGGUCAAGAGAGGUACAGAACGAUUACUACAGCUUACUACCGGGGUGCAAUGGGCUUCAUUUUAAUGUACGACAUCACAAAUGAAGAAUCUUUCAAUGCUGUGCAGGAUUGGUCAACUCAAAUCAAAACAUACUCUUGGGAUAAUGCUCAGGUUAUUUUGGUUGGUAACAAAUGUGACAUGGAAGAUGAACGAGUGAUCUUCACAGAGAGAGGCAAACACUUAGCAGAGCAACUUGGAUUUGAAUUUUUUGAAACAAGUGCAAAGGAUAACAUUAAUGUCAAGCAGACAUUUGAACGACUCGUGGAUAUCAUCUGUGACAAGAUGUCAGAGAGUCUGGAUAUGGAUCCCACCAUUGCUGCCAGCACGCAGAACACACGGCUAAAGGACACCCCUCCUCCACAGCAGCCCAAUUGUGGCUGUUAGUGCAGCUAUCAGCAAAGGCAGCUUCAGUGUGUUCUGUUGCCAAUAGAGUCUUUAUUAAUGGUCUAUAUACCUUUAUUUAUAUUGUCUUAUUAAUUUAUUUGGUAGAAAAGUCUUUUCUCGACCAGCAGCUGGUUGAGUAUGCAUAUGGGGAUGGAAAACUAAACUUUUUCAUUUGAAAGAAUGAUCCAUUUUUCAGCAUCUGGAUUUUGCAUGCAGGAUAGGUGUUAGUUCCUCUUUCCUUUUUACUGUUUUGUGUUAUAUUUACUUCAGCUGGUGCCGUGUCCUCAGACCACAUUUGCCUGAAAGUGACCCUUGCUUCACCAGUUUCAACUUACAUAAUCGAAUUCUUAGGGUUGUGGCCAUGGUAUUUUAGAAUAAGUUUCCUGGUACCACUUCUACUUCCUCCUAACUGAAAAUCAGUUUAGAAAUAUUUCUUUAGUGAGACAGUUCCUCUUUUUGUCCAGAUCAUUUGUACAAAGACACUUACUGGGGCCCAUUGCCUUGGCAAAUCUGUACUCAUUACAUAAUUAUACAUUGUGGCUGAUUGGAGAUUGAUGAAAUUAGAAGUUAGUUCCUGGACCCAAAGCCACCAAAUUUAGCUGUGAAUUUCCAAGUGGAUAUGGCUAUUCAGUAUAGACCCUCAGACAUACUAAGUACUUCAGUCUUUCUGGACAGCUAGUAUGUUUGCAUUUCCAUGGGAGCUCCAAGUCUAACAAUAGCUUUCUGAAGCUUGAAUUAAUUUGUUGUUCCAUCUUUAUGGAGAUCCCAGCAUUACCUGCCCUAGUAGUGGAAGACUGACCAGUUCUUUCCUUUUCUACAUGCUUGAGGUAGAAGAGGAAAUUACCCUUGACAAAGCCAAAUUCAUCAUGUUCAAUUGUUCAUAGCCAAAAGCUGUCCUGAGGUGUUGCUGUCAAACCUGCAUAGUCAAACUUUCAGAAAUACCAUCUUCCAUUCAGCCAAUGAGACAAUCACCAUCACCACACUAACUACAAACACCUGUAUUUUACUCAGAUCUAUGGAGGAAGUGGAGUUUGACCUCAUUUUCACUUUGAUGGGGAUAUUUAUUUCAACAAGAAAAUCAGAAUUUUACAAAGAUCUAUAAACUUUAGGAGUAAUAAAGAUUUGUGAACAUUUCUGAUGUUAGUUGUAAGACCAGCAAAAGACUGUGAAGAUACGAGAAUAAACAUAUACAAAUUCUUUUUUUAGUAAAAGUGCUUUUAAAAGUCAUAUUUCACAGGUUUUAAAAGUGCUCCCCUAAUAACUGGUGUCAGUUUUUUACAUCUGUGCGCUGGAGUACUUUGGACAACUACUUUACUUAGCACUGCAGUGACAUUUUUAAACUGAACAGUAUAAUUGAGAAUAUAUUAACUAAUAUAUUAAUUAGUAAGAACUUAGGACAAGGCUGACAUUUCUUGAACUGUCUGCAAUGGGAAAAAUCAGAAGAUAAAUUAAAAACAAAAAGAAGCAACAUGAGGUACUGCUCACAAUUGCAAAGAAAUCACUUAUUUUUCAAGGUCAUUUCUGUAACUCUUGAAACACAUGAAGCUGGUCACUUUUAUUUUACUGAUUAAGUAGACUACAUGUACAUUGCCACAGUGAAAAUUUCUUCCAAACAAAGUAUAUAAGCACGUGUAAAAUGGAUAUGCAUAUAGUAUGCAACUACACUGAUUGCCUGAUCCCUGAAGGGAUCCUACAUGAAAGCUAGAGAGGGACUUUUUAUAAGG